RNAcentral lists this long non-coding RNA (1155 nucleotides) under Mytilus galloprovincialis (Mediterranean mussel). Lineage: Eukaryota; Metazoa; Mollusca; Bivalvia; Mytilida; Mytilidae. The record is from RNAcentral.
CUUUUGGGAAUGUUUAUCAGCAAUGGUGACAACAGUGUUUACAAUUUGCAUUAACUUGUCAGAUGGUCAUUGUGGUCUGGCCUGGUUUCCAUACAGCAAUGGUCAGGUCAAGUUUUCAGGAUUAGGUCUGUUCCUUAAAUGCAUAUAGGUCUACACUAUUUGAUAAAAGGAUUGGUUGUAGGAAGUAUAUACAUGUACAUCUUUGUCUUGCAUACGCCUUAAUCUUAUUUGCACAUUCCAAAGAUAUGAAUACAGUAAUUACUUUCAAUUGACUAGAAUCGUCAGUAUUCCAAUUGAAAGGUCAUGGUUUUCCCUUAGGACCCUGGCCUCCUACACCUAUUAAAACUGGCUGCCACGAAAUAGCCCAAAGGUGGCGCUUAAAAGUGGAAACACCAACAAUCAAUCAAUCAUUACAGUAACAGGAUAAAUCAACCCUAUUUGAUAUUUGUUAGAAGGAGUAUAUUUUCAUCUGAUAUAUUUUAUAUGGCUUUGUCGUCAACAUACCAAUUUGACAUUCAACACCAAUAGUCAAUCACUAGACCAAUUAAGUUUUCAGAAAGAUAACUGCUCCAUAUUAUCUACUGGUACUCAUAAUAGGAUAAGAACUUGGUUUGUUGCAAAAAUCACCAAGAGUCUAGAAAAGUUGUAAAUAUAUUCAGAAGAGGCCGUCAAAUACAUGAAAGCUCAUAAAGAUAGACCAUGUAAAAACUAGGGAAAUCACAUAAAUCAAACAAAAAAACAAACUUUCUUCAAUCCACAAGAAUUUAACUGUUAAAAUAUAAAAGAAUCCACAGUAAAUUUUAAAAGCUAACCAAAAUCACGACUCCUGAUCUGGAACAGACAAGUGUCCUCCAUGAAAUCUAACCCCUUUAAAUAGUUCUAUGGAAAAUAGCAUUAAAAUGUUCAGAAAAUAGAAAAUAACAAAAAAUAUGAACAAGCAAAACGAUAAUACCUUUUCAAAGAAUGUUUACAUUUACAUAAAAAAGCUCAACAUACUAUAAAUCCUACUGAAAAUAUAUCUGAUCAUGUAAUCCUACACUAAUAUCUGUGGCUGUGUUUCUGAGCAGCAUCAUUGAUGUUAACUAAAAAUACUGCUCAUUUAUUCAACAGUAUGGUUAUAACCCUUUAUCAGUGAAUCUAUCAAAUCAGAAAGAA